Molecule: long non-coding RNA, 1133 nt
Filed under: Olea europaea (common olive)
Lineage: Eukaryota; Viridiplantae; Streptophyta; Magnoliopsida; Lamiales; Oleaceae
Description: long non-coding RNA (OEUR_LNC002143)
Source: RNAcentral
UUUAUGUUAGUUUCAGUACAUUUCCACAGCUAAUUGGUUAUUCAUUUAUCGAAUUAGCGUAACAAAUUCAAGUUUCAAACUCGAUGACUCUCUUACUUCAUAUAGCACUUGGAUCUCCCACGUACACUCUCCAUUCGAAUACCUAUAGCAAAAUGAAGAUUAGUUGACAUGAAAUUUUCAGAAUAUUUAAUAGGUUCAUACUAAUUUGUAUGUACCGAUCUAUAUUUCAAUGUUCGUUAUUCCCAUGUCAAGGGUUUGCACCAUUGUUGUCUAGCAAAUAUGGAACAUAGUAGGGCAUUGCAUGACAUACUGUACACCAUUUUCAAGCACACCUCAAGCACAAUCGUACCAUACUUUCCUGUUGCACCAUCACCAAGUAAUUUUGUAUUAUCAAUAACAUUAUCAUCAUUGGACUCCACCAACAUAACAGUUUCGAUGUCGUCAAAAAAAAUUUUCCCUACGACCAAAAAGUCGAUUAAACUGUUAUUUAUAGCCCUUUUCCAGUGAACUACUUUACAAUUGAUGAAACAUAUUCAGUUACAGUCAUUUAUAACAUUUACAAAAUCAGCUUCUUACGAGUGUUUCCUAGAAGAGCAGCUUCCAUGCAAUCAAGAAAUUUUGCAUUUCGUUUAUGCAUUUAUUCUGCACUACUAGAUCAAACAGUGGUGGUAAUAGUCAUCAUUCUUCCACAAAUUCUUCCAAAAAUUAACAAAAAGUCCUGCCUAAAUCGUACUGCUCAGUAUAAUUUUUUGGUUAAAAAAUAAAUUUCAGAUUUUACCUUAAAAUUAAAUUUCAGAUUUUAAAACAUAUUUUCAGAUUUUAAAAUAAAUUCCAGAUUUUAAAACAAACUUCAUACUUUAAAAUGAAUUUCAGAUUUUACAAUAAACUUUAGAUUUUACAAUAAAAUUUAAUGUUUUACCUUUUUUCGUCAUCGAUGAAAGCAAAGGUCAACAGAUGGUCGGAGAUAUCGACGGUGUGGCGAUAGCCAUAUCGGAGUCGGCCAAAUGAACGAAGACUUCGAAGGUGCUUAGAGAUGUCGGAGUUGUACGCGUCGGAGGUGGCCAGAGGUCGACGUAUGUAUGAGGAGUGUAAGUGAAAAUGUGCAGAUGAAAAUGGAGAAAAAGGGGGGGGAU